CCCACGGGUGGCUGCAGUGGGGAAUAUUGGACAAUGGGCGAAAGCCUGAUCCAGCCAUGCCGCGUGUGUGAAGAAGGCCUUCGGGUUGUAAAGCACUUUCAGUGGGGAAGAAAGCCUUGGGGCUAAUACCCUCGAGGAAGGACAUCACCCACAGAAGAAGCACCGGCUAACUCCGUGCCAGCAGCCGCGGUAAUACGGAGGGUGCGAGCGUUAAUCGGAAUUACUGGGCGUAAAGCGCGCGUAGGCGGUCUGAUAAGCCGGUUGUGAAAGCCCCGGGCUCAACCUGGGAACGGCAUCCGGAACUGUCAGGCUAGAGUGCAGGAGAGGAAGGUAGAAUUCCCGGUGUAGCGGUGAAAUGCGUAGAGAUCGGGAGGAAUACCAGUGGCGAAGGCGGCCUUCUGGACUGACACUGACGCUGAGGUGCGAAAGCGUGGGUAGCAAACAGGAUUAGAUACCCCUGUAGUC
This 465-nucleotide ribosomal RNA is filed under the name Vreelandella stevensii. RNAcentral describes it as "partial 16S ribosomal RNA". It matches the Rfam family "Bacterial small subunit ribosomal RNA", at positions 338 to 795 of the family's 1533-position model. The record is from RNAcentral. Lineage: Bacteria; Pseudomonadati; Pseudomonadota; Gammaproteobacteria; Oceanospirillales; Halomonadaceae.